MicroRNA precursor from Cavia porcellus (domestic guinea pig), 77 nucleotides. Lineage: Eukaryota; Metazoa; Chordata; Mammalia; Rodentia; Caviidae. The record is from Ensembl.
CUUGAACUCACUUUGUAGUCCAGGCUGGCUUCAAACUCACAGUGAUCCUCCUGCCUCAGCCUCCUGAGUGCUGGGAU